ACACUCCUGCGGGAGGCAGCAGUGGGGAAUUUUGGACAAUGGGGGCAACCCUGAUCCAGCAAUGCCGCGUGAGUGAAGAAGGCCUUCGGGUUGUAAAGCUCUUUUGUCAGGGAAGAAACGGUGGUGGCGAAUAACUACUACUAAUGACGGUACCUGAAGAAUAAGCACCGGCUAACUACGUGCCAGCAGCCGCGGUAAUACGUAGGGUGCAAGCGUUAAUCGGAAUUACUGGGCGUAAAGCGUGCGCAGGCGGUUGUGUAAGUCAGAUGUGAAAUCCCCGGGCUCAACCUGGGAAUUGCAUUUGAGACUGCACGGCUAGAGUGUGUCAGAGGGGGGUAGAAUUCCACGUGUAGCAGUGAAAUGCGUAGAUAUGUGGAGGAAUACCGAUGGCGAAGGCAGCCCCCUGGGAUAACACUGACGCUCAUGCACGAAAGCGUGGGGAGCAAACAGGAUUAGAAACCCCAGUAGUCCCA
RNAcentral lists this ribosomal RNA (473 nucleotides) under uncultured organism. Its description in RNAcentral is "partial 16S ribosomal RNA". It matches the Rfam family "Bacterial small subunit ribosomal RNA", at positions 333 to 797 of the family's 1533-position model. The record is from RNAcentral.